AUGGGUAAAUGGAGCGGUGUGCUUUGAAUUGGAACGGUGCAGUUAGACCAACAUGGCGUAGCAGGGUUCUAUGCGCCUUGGAAAUGUUGUGUCUACUAUACUUCUGGAAAAAAAAAUCAAGCGCAUUGACUAAGCAAAAAGGAAAAACCAACAAAGGACUACUCGAGGGCCAUGAUUGAUGCUGAAGGCUGGGAGGCAUGAGAAUAGGCAAAUGUCUUAAAGAUAAUAAAGUAGGGGAUUUCUUACUUUGAUACAGCAGUAAAUGUGAAAUAGGCUUUUUUAAAGCACUUGCCCUCAAUGAUAAAUCUGAAAACAUUUUUCUAUCAACCUAAAGAUAAUGAGGAAAGGGGAAAUGUUAGGAGAGUGCUCAACCAAGUUGUUGCAUUACUGAUUAGUUUUUUUUAUUAAAGCUAUAGUCCAAUUUCUUCCUUUUCUCUCUCUCUCUCUCAUUUUCUCAACAUUUUCAAUCAAUUUGCAUAUGUGGAUCCAUGGUUUCUAUAUAUAAAAAAAAAAAACAAACAAACAGCAGGCCACCAUCCUACAGGGUGGGUGCACCAAUGUCUAAUGCAUGACUGGAGGUAUAUUUGUGGAUAAUUUCCUUGGUGAUGGAGUAUCACCAGUAAUAAGUGAUAUAUUAAUCUUCCAUAUGGCACCUGAAGUGUAUCUAACUAUAUCAUUCUAUCUUUGGAA
Molecule: long non-coding RNA, 690 nt
Organism: Nematostella vectensis (starlet sea anemone)
Lineage: Eukaryota; Metazoa; Cnidaria; Anthozoa; Actiniaria; Edwardsiidae
Exons: 2
Source: RefSeq, a predicted model, not a curated record